Molecule: long non-coding RNA, 751 nt
Filed under: Rattus norvegicus (Norway rat)
Lineage: Eukaryota; Metazoa; Chordata; Mammalia; Rodentia; Muridae
Description: long non-coding RNA NONRATT002908
Source: RNAcentral
AUUCACAGCAAAGGAAUGCCGAAUGGCUGAGAAACACCAAAAGAAAUGUUCAACAUCUUUAGUCAUAAGGGAAAUGCAAAUCAAAACAAACCUGAGAUUUCACCUCACACUAGUGAGAAUGGCUAAGAUCAAAAACUCAGGUGACAGCAAAUGCUGGUGAGGAUGUGGAGAAAGAGGAACACUCCUUCAUUGUUGGUGGGAUUGCAGACUGGUACAACCAUUCUGGAAAUCAGACUGGAGGUUCCUCAGAAAAUUGGACAUUGAACUACCUGAGAACCCAGCUAUACCUGUCUUGGCCAUAUACCCAAAAGAUGGCCGAACAUAUAACAAAGACACAUGCUCCACUAUGCUCAUAGCAGCCUUAUUUAUAAUAGCCAGAAGCUGGAAAGAACCCAGAUGCCCUUUAACAGAUGAAUGGACACAGAAAAUGUCUUACAUCUACACAAUGGAAUAUUUCUCAGCUAUCAAAACCAUGACUUAUGAAAUUCAUAGGCAAAUGGUCGGAACUGGAAAAUAUCAUCCUGAGUGAGGUAACCCAAUCACAGAAAAAACACACAUGGUAUGCCCUUAUUGAUAAGUGGCUAUUAGCCCAAAUGCUUGAAUUGACGUAGAUGCACAGAACACAUGAAACUCAAGAUGGAUGAACAAAAUGUGAAUGCUUCACUCCUUCUUUAAAAGGGGAAGAAGAAUACCCUUAUCAGGGAAUAGGGAUUCAAAGAUUAAAACAGAGGCAGAAGGAACAGCCAAUCAG